Molecule: ribosomal RNA, 98 nt
Filed under: uncultured bacterium
Lineage: Bacteria
Description: partial 16S ribosomal RNA
Source: RNAcentral
CGGGUUGUAAAGCUCUGUCGGAAGGGACGAAAAUGGCUAGGGUGAAUAGCCUUAGCAACUGACGGUACCUUCAAAGGAAGCACCGGCUAACUCUGUGC